GUGCUCACUUCGGCAGCGCGUGCACUAAAAUUGGAAGGACAGAGAGGAGAUUGGUGUGGCCCCUGUGCAAGGACCACAUGAAAAUUCGCAGAGCGUUACAUAUUUUA
Molecule: small nuclear RNA, 107 nt
Organism: Nycticebus coucang (slow loris)
Lineage: Eukaryota; Metazoa; Chordata; Mammalia; Primates; Lorisidae
Source: RefSeq, a predicted model, not a curated record